This 442-nucleotide ribosomal RNA is filed under the name uncultured bacterium. Its description in RNAcentral is "bacterial LSU rRNA". It matches the Rfam family "Bacterial large subunit ribosomal RNA", at positions 43 to 530 of the family's 2925-position model. The record is from RNAcentral.
CAGGCGAUGAAGGACGUGUUAGCCUGCGAUAAGCUCCGGGGAGCUGGCAAAUAAGCUUUGAUCCGGAGAUCUCCGAAUGGGGAAACCCACCGAAAGGUACCGUACGCUGAAUAAAUAGGCGUACGGAGCUAACCAGGCGAACUGAAACAUCUCAGUAGCUUGAGGAACAGACAUCAACCGAGAUUCCGAAAGUAGUGGCGAGCGAAAUCGGAAAAGCCUGCGCGUUUUAAUAUUCCUCCUAUCGGAAUCAUAUGGAAAGAUGAACCAUAGCGGGUGAUAGUCCCGUACGGAAAAGGCGGAGUAUAGAACUAGGCGCGCGAAAAGUAGGGCGGGACACGUGAAAUCCUGUCUGAAGAAGGGGGGACCAUCCUCCAAGGCUAAAUACUCGUAAUCGACCGAUAGUGAACUAGUACCGUGAGGGAAAGGCGAAAAGAACCCCGGA